RNAcentral lists this ribosomal RNA (758 nucleotides) under uncultured archaeon. RNAcentral's name for it is "bacterial SSU rRNA". It matches the Rfam family "Archaeal small subunit ribosomal RNA", at positions 102 to 859 of the family's 1478-position model. The record is from RNAcentral.
GGACAACCUGCCCUGAGGACUGGAAUAAUCCCGGGAAACUGGGGGUAAUUCCAGAUAUGUCAGAACUCCUGGAAUGGGUUCUGGCAGAAAGGCUCCGGCGCCUCAGGAUGGGUCUGCGGCCUAUCAGGGUAGUAGUGGGUGUAGCGUACCUACUAGCCUACGACGGGUACGGGUUGUGAGAGCAAGAGCCCGGAGAUGGAUUCUGAGACACGAAUCCAGGCCCUACGGGGUGUAGCAGGCGCGAAAACUUUACAAUGCUGGCAACAGCGAUAAGGGAACCUCGAGUGCCAGGUUACAAAUCUGGCUGUCGAGAUGCCUAAAAAGCAUUUCAUAGCAAGGGCCGGGCAAGACCGGUGCCAGCCGCCGCGGUAACACCGGCGGCUCGAGUGGUAACCGUUAUUAUUGGGUCUAAAGGGUCUGUAGCCGGCCGGAUAAGUCUCUUGAGAAAUCUGGCAGCUUAACUGUCAGGCUUUCAGGAGAUACUGUCUGGCUCGAGGCCGGGAGAGGUGAGAGGUACUUCAGGGGUAGGGGUGAAAUCUUGUAAUCCUUGAAGGACCACCAGUGGCGAAGGCGUCUCACCAGAACGGACCUGACGGCAAGGGACGAAAGCUAGGGGCACGAACCGGAUUAGAUACCCGGGUAGUCCUAGCCGUAAACGAUACUCGCUAGGUGUCGGCCACGGUGCGACCGUUGUCGGUGCCGUAGGGAAGCCGUGAAGCGAGCCACCUGGGAAGUACGGCCGCAAGGCUGAAACUUAA